AGUGAACGCUGGCGGUAGGCCUAACACAUGCAAGUCGAACGGCAGCACAGUAAGAGCUUGCUCGUACGGGUGGCGAGUGGCGGACGGGUGAGGAAUACAUCGGAAUCUACUUUUUCGUGGGGGAUAACGUAGGGAAACUUACGCUAAUACCGCAUACGACCUACGGGUGAAAGCAGGGGAUCUUCGGACCUUGCGCGAGUGAAUGAGCCGAUGUCGGAUUAGCUAGUUGGCGGGGUAAAGGCCCACCAAGGCGACGAUCCGUAGCUGGUCUGAGAGGAUGAUCAGCCACACUGGAACUGAGACACGGUCCAGACUCCUACGGGAGGCCGCAGUGGGGAAUAUUGGACAAUGGGCGCAAGCCUGAUCCAGCCAUACCGCGUGGGUGAAGAAGGCUUUCGGGUUGUAAAGCCCUUUUGUUGGGAAAGAAAAGCAGCAGGUUAAUACCCCGCUGUUCUGACGGUACCCAAAGAAUAAGCACCGGCUAACUUCGUG
This 492-nucleotide ribosomal RNA is filed under the name uncultured bacterium. RNAcentral describes it as "partial 16S ribosomal RNA". It matches the Rfam family "Bacterial small subunit ribosomal RNA", at positions 29 to 507 of the family's 1533-position model. The record is from RNAcentral.